CUGAGAAGAGUAGUGGGCGAAACGGGUGAGGUAACACUGGGGUAACCUGCCCAUAAGAGGGGGAUAACAUCCGGAAACGGGUGCUAAUACCGCAUAGUUUUCUUGAUCGCAUGAUCGGGAAAGGAAAGACGGCCUUUGUGCUGUCGCUUAUGGAUGGACCCGCGGCGUAUUAGUUAGUUGGUGAGGUAACGGCUCACCAAGACGAUGAUACGUAGCCGACCUGAGAGGGUGAUCGGCCACAUUGGGACUGAGACACGGCCCAAACUCCUACGGGAGGCAGCAGUAGGGAAUCUUCCGCAAUGGACGAAAGUCUGACGGAGCAACGCCGCGUGAGUGAAGAAAAGGUUUUCGGAUCGUAAAACUCUGUUGUCAGAGAAGAACAAGUUGGAGAGUAACUGCUCCAGCCUUGACGGUAUCUGACCAGAAAGCCACGGCUAACUACGUGCCAGCCGCCGC
RNAcentral lists this ribosomal RNA (456 nucleotides) under uncultured bacterium. RNAcentral describes it as "bacterial SSU rRNA". It matches the Rfam family "Bacterial small subunit ribosomal RNA", at positions 81 to 518 of the family's 1533-position model. The record is from RNAcentral.